GACGGGGGGGGCAAGUGUUCUUCGGAAUGACUGGGCGUAAAGGGCACGUAGGCGGUGAAUCGGGUUGAAAGUGAAAGUCGCCAAAAAGUGGCGGAAUGCUCUCGAAAUCAAUUCACUUGAGUGAGACAGAGGAGAGUGGAAUUUCGUGUGUAGGGGUGAAAUCCGUAAAUAUACGAAGGAACGCCAAAAGCGAAGGCAGCUCUCUGGGUCCCUACCGACGCUGGGGUGCGAAAGCGUGGGGAGCAAACAGG
Molecule: ribosomal RNA, 251 nt
Filed under: uncultured bacterium
Lineage: Bacteria
Description: partial 16S ribosomal RNA
Rfam family: Bacterial small subunit ribosomal RNA
Source: RNAcentral